This 742-nucleotide ribosomal RNA is filed under the name uncultured bacterium. Its description in RNAcentral is "bacterial SSU rRNA". It matches the Rfam family "Bacterial small subunit ribosomal RNA", at positions 8 to 796 of the family's 1533-position model. The record is from RNAcentral.
AGAGUUUGAUCAUGGCUCAGAACGAACGCUGGCGGCAGGCUUAACACAUGCAAGUCGAGCGCUGUAGCAAUACAGAGCGGCGCACGGGUGAGUAACACGUGGGAACAUGCCUUUCGGUUCGGAAUAACUCAGGGAAACUUGUGCUAAUACCGGAUACGCCCUUACGGGGAAAGAUUUAUUGCCGAAAGAGUGGCCCGCGUUGGAUUAGCUAGUUGGCGGGGUAAAAGCCCACCAAGGCGACGAUCCAUAGCUGGUCUGAGAGGACGACCAGCCACACUGGGACUGAGACACGGCCCAGACUCCUACGGGAGGCAGCAGUGGGGAAUCUUGGACAAUGGGGGAAACCCUGAUCCAGCCAUGCCGCGUGAGUGAUGAAGGCCCUAGGGUUGUAAAACUCUUUCGGCGGGGACGAUAAUGACGGUACCCGCAGAAGAAGCUCCGGCUAACUUCGUGCCAGCAGCCGCGGUAAUACGAAGGGGGCUAGCGUUGUUCGGAAUUACUGGGCGUAAAGCGCGCGCAGGCGGUCCUUCCAGUCAGAGGUGAAAGCCCAGAGCUCAACUCUGGAACUGCCUUUGAAACUAGAGGACUUGGGUACGGGAGAGGUGAGUGGAAUUCCGAGUGUAGAGGUGAAAUUCGUAGAUAUUCGGAAGAACACCAGUGGCGAAGGCGGCUCACUGGCCCGUUACCGACGCUCAGGCGCGACAGCGUGGGGAGCAAACAGGAUUAGAUACCCUAGUAGUCC